UAAUUUAUCAAAAACAUAUCCUAAUCUAGUUAUGGCAAAUCACAUCUGACUGCUCAGAUGGUAAGCAUGUCUAUAUCAUUUAUCUCCACAAAAACAUGUGCAUAUUGGUAGAGUAGCCUCUAGUUUUAUUA
Molecule: microRNA precursor, 131 nt
Filed under: Populus trichocarpa (black cottonwood)
Lineage: Eukaryota; Viridiplantae; Streptophyta; Magnoliopsida; Malpighiales; Salicaceae
Description: MIR480 microRNA precursor family
Rfam family: MIR480 microRNA precursor family
Source: Rfam by way of RNAcentral